UUUACAAGAUGGGGAAACUGAGGCACAGAGGAAGGCGUCAUUUGGCCAAGUUCACACAGGGACAUACAGCAGGGUCCUGGCUUGUCUGACUGCCAGAGACAGCUCUUCACCACCACCCUCCUGCCAGGUUCAAUUUCUUCUCCUCCUCCUUUUUCCUUCUUCGCCAUCAUCAUCAUCACCGUCAUCAUCUCAUAUGUGUCGAUACAAAUGUAAAAUGUGGCAUUUGUCAUGAUGAGCCCUUGGUUAGUUUUGAAGCUGUCUGUGACCAUAUCCUGGUUGAAAUGUCCUCGUUACAGAAGGCCAGCCGUGACUCACAGUGGGAGGUGUGCAAAUACCUGCACAAAUGCUGUCCUU
Molecule: long non-coding RNA, 354 nt
Organism: Cynocephalus volans (Philippine flying lemur)
Lineage: Eukaryota; Metazoa; Chordata; Mammalia; Dermoptera; Cynocephalidae
Exons: 3
Source: RefSeq, a predicted model, not a curated record